Canis lupus familiaris (dog) is the source of this 1178-nucleotide long non-coding RNA. RefSeq lists it as uncharacterized. Lineage: Eukaryota; Metazoa; Chordata; Mammalia; Carnivora; Canidae. The transcript is spliced from 3 exons. The record is from RefSeq and is a predicted model, not a curated record.
UUUAGAUAAUGGUGUGAAUUGCAAUGCCAGAUAUCUGGACUUAAUUUUACUGAAAGGGAGGGAGUCCAAGUGCCCUAGAUAUCCACCUACAUAGGCAGCCAGAGGACUUCCCUCUUUUGAGCUAAAUGCUGCUGCAGCUGCUAGAGCAUAACUAUACUUAUGGUGACAAGAAAAUGCACAGAGAAAUACACAGAGGCUCAGGUGCCAGUGUAUUAACCACAGAGAAUGGGGUUCACUGCCACACAUCUCUGAGAGACCAAAUGAAGAGAGAAUCCAGGCAAAGAAGACAAUAAAAUACACUGUAGUAGUGUUUGUGAAAGCCUUAAAAAAGAGGGUGAAGAGCUUUGAGUUUUGUCUUUAUCUUCCCAGUAUCUCUAUAGUGCCCAGUACAUGACAGGCACUCAGAAAAUUUUUACUGAAUGGAUGAAUAUACUUUAAAAAUCUUUAAUUGCUGAUCUCCUAUUUUACAGAGUUUUCCCUUCAUGAUCAAUUGUGUGAACACAUGAGAAGAUGGUUCUUUCUGGUUAUUGACUGGAGAAUGGAUUGGAAGAUGUGCAGAAAAGAGUUAGCAUAGCCAGCCUGCUAUCUUUUGAAAGUCUGUCUUAUAAGAUUGGUCCUUGGCUCAUGUUUGCAAACUCAGAUUUUCGAAGGAUCCCCACCAUCCAAAUGGCACUUUUCCAACAGGAUUGACUAUGAAACCAGCUGUCCUGUUAUAAGAUACUGGUGAAGAGGAACACAGUGACUUAAAGCAUCAGACAUAAGAAAAGCAUUCUUUUUUAUUACAUAAAAAAAGACCAUAAAGAAUAGAAAAUACCAAAGAGCAGAGAAAUAGACAUUAAGUUCUUUGAUAGGAACAUCUAUUAGUAACUGGUAACCAAUAAAAAUGAAAUUCUGGAAUGCUAUUGCAUACUUUUGAAAGACAGGGAUCAGAUUUAUGUGAAAUCUCUUACAAAACAGCAAUAACAAUGGGGUCAUUACUGCAUUUCCAAUAACCCACUGCAGGACUGGAUGAGAAAGUGGGGUCAGAGCUGGAAAGAGAAUUCAGCAUGCAGAAGGGGGAGUUAGUAUAGACAGAAACUGCAUUUGUUCCUGCCACAGGGAAUUCUCUGAUUAUUAUGUAUCAGAUGUUAGUAGAAAAAGUGAUUUGAAAAAAAAAAAAAAAAGUGAUUUGCUCUCCG